Molecule: ribosomal RNA, 800 nt
Filed under: Oceanobacillus sp. JSM 102049
Lineage: Bacteria; Bacillati; Bacillota; Bacilli; Caryophanales; Bacillaceae
Description: bacterial SSU rRNA
Rfam family: Bacterial small subunit ribosomal RNA
Source: RNAcentral
UGGGCGGCGUGCUAUACAUGCAAGUCGAGCGCAGGAAGUUAUCUGAUCCUUUUCGGAGGUGACGAUAAUGGAAUGAGCGGCGGACGGGUGAGUAACACGUAGGCAACCUGCCUGUAAGACUGGGAUAACUCGUGGAAACGCGAGCUAAUACCGGAUAACACUUUUCAUCUCCUGAUGAGAAGUUGAAAGGCGGCUUUUGCUGUCACUUACAGAUGGGCCUGCGGCGCAUUAGCUAGUUGGUAAGGUAACGGCUUACCAAGGCGACGAUGCGUAGCCGACCUGAGAGGGUGAUCGGCCACACUGGGACUGAGACACGGCCCAGACUCCUACGGGAGGCAGCAGUAGGGAAUCUUCCGCAAUGGACGAAAGUCUGACGGAGCAACGCCGCGUGAGUGAUGAAGGUUUUCGGAUCGUAAAACUCUGUUGUUAGGGAAGAACAAGUGCCAUAGUAACUGAUGGCACCUUGACGGUACCUAACCAGAAAGCCACGGCUAACUACGUGCCAGCAGCCGCGGUAAUACGUAGGUGGCAAGCGUUGUCCGGAAUUAUUGGGCGUAAAGCGCUCGCAGGCGGUUCUUUAAGUCUGAUGUGAAAUCUUACGGCUCAACCGUAAACGUGCAUUGGAAACUGGAGGACUUGAGUGCAGAAGAGGAGAGUGGAAUUCCACGUGUAGCGGUGAAAUGCGUAGAGAUGUGGAGGAACACCAGUGGCGAAGGCGACUCUCUGGUCUGUAACUGACGCUGAGGAGCGAAAGCGUGGGGAGCGAACAGGAUUAGAUACCCUGGUAGUCCACGCCGUAA